RNAcentral lists this ribosomal RNA (404 nucleotides) under uncultured bacterium. Its description in RNAcentral is "partial 16S ribosomal RNA". It matches the Rfam family "Bacterial small subunit ribosomal RNA", at positions 30 to 526 of the family's 1533-position model. The record is from RNAcentral.
AUUGAACGCUGGCGGCAGGCCUAACACAUGCAAGUCGAGCGAGCGGCGGACGGGUGAGUAAUGCCUGGGAAUUGCCCAGUCGGGGGGGAUAACAGUUGGAAAAGACUGUUAAUACCGCAUACGAUUGGAUCGCCCAGGUGGGACUAGGUAGUUGGGGAGGUAAUGGCGCACCAAGGCGACGAUCCCUAGCUGGUCUGAGAGGAUGAUCAGCCACACUGGAACUGAGACACGGUCCAGACUCCUACGGGAGGCAGCAGUGGGGAAUAUUGCACAAUGGUGGAAAGCCUGAUGCAGCCAUGCCGCGUGUAUGAAGAAGGCCCUAGGGUUGUAAAGCACUUUCAGCGAGGAGGCGUUACUCGCAGAAGAAGCACCGGCUAACUCCGUGCCAGCAGCCGCGGUAAUAC